CAGUGACCCACCGAGUCCGACGCCAUCAAUCGUUUACUCACCGAAGAAGCUUUCUGCGAUCAGAAUUGGUAAAAACAAACACGAUAGAAGGUGUUCUUUGGAGCUGAAGGAUCCAAUCUAUAAAUUUUAGAGUUGGUUGACAUUAUUAUUGCAGUUAUUAUGAUUAUUUAGAAUUAUUUUGUUUGAAGGAUCCGUUUCUUUAACACCCCAAUUCCCUCCCCUUUGACGCCAAUG
This 234-nucleotide unclassified non-coding RNA is filed under the name Hevea brasiliensis (rubber tree). The record is from RNAcentral. Lineage: Eukaryota; Viridiplantae; Streptophyta; Magnoliopsida; Malpighiales; Euphorbiaceae.